CCCUUAGAUGUUCGGGGCCGCACGCGCGCUACACUGAAGGACUCAGCGUGUCUCUCCCCCUAUCCCGAAAGGGAUGGGCAACCCGUUGAACCUCCUUCGUGCUAGGGAUUGGGGUUUGCAAUUAUCCCCCAUGAACGAGGAAUUCCCAGUAAGCGCGAGUCAUCAGCUCGCGUUGAAUACGUCCCUGCCCUUUGUACACACCGCCCGUCGCUCCUACCGAUCGAAGAGUUAGGUGAAUUGUUUUGAUCGAUAAGAUUUGACUAUGGUCAACUCUCGUUGUGAAAUUCUGUGAAUCUGACUGUUUAGAGGAAGGAAAAGUCGUAACA
Molecule: ribosomal RNA, 326 nt
Filed under: uncultured eukaryote
Lineage: Eukaryota
Description: partial 18S ribosomal RNA
Rfam family: Eukaryotic small subunit ribosomal RNA
Source: RNAcentral